GACGAACGCUGGUUGCGUGCUUAACACAUGCAAGUCGAACGGAAAGGCCCUGCUUUUGUGGGGUGCUCGAGUGGCGAACGGGUGAGUAACACGUGAGUAACCUGCCCUUGACUUUGGGAUAACUUCAGGAAACUGGGGCUAAUACCGGAUAGGAGCUCCUGCUGCAUGGUGGGGGUUGGAAAGUUUCGGCGGUUGGGGAUGGACUCGCGGCUUAUCAGCUUGUUGGUGGGGUAGUGGCUUACCAAGGCUUUGACGGGUAGCCGGCCUGAGAGGGUGACCGGCCACAUUGGGACUGAGAUACGGCCCAGACUCCUACGGGAGGCAGCAGUGGGGAAUAUUGCACAAUGGGCGGAAGCCUGAUGCAGCAACGCCGCGUGCGGGAUGACGGCCUUCGGGUUGUAAACCGCUUUCGCCUGUGACGAAGCGUGAGUGACGGUAAUGGGUAAAGAAGCACCGGCUAACUACGUGCCAGCAGCCGCGGUGAUACGUAGGGUGCGAGCGUUGUCCGGAUUUAUUGGGCGUAAAGGGCUCGUAGGUGGUUGAUCGCGUCGGAAGUGUAAUCUUGGGGCUUAACCCUGAGCGUGCUUUCGAUACGGGUUGACUUGAGGAAGGUAGGGGAGAAUGGAAUUCCUGGUGGAGCGGUGGAAUGCGCAGAUAUCAGGAGGAACACCAGUGGCGAAGGCGGUUCUCUGGGCCUUUCCUGACGCUGAGGAGCGAGAGCGUGGGGAGCGAACAGGCUUAGAUACCCUGGUAGUCCACGCUGUAAACGGUGGGUACUAGGUGUGGGGUCCAUUCCACGGGUUCCGUGCCGUAGCUAACGCUUUAAGUACCCCGCCUGGGGAGUACGGCCGCAAGGCUAAAACUCAAAGGAAUUGACGGGGCCCCGCACAAGCGGCGGAGCAUGCGGAUUAAUUCGAUGCAACGCGUAGAGCCUUACCUGGGUUUGACAUGGAUCGGGAGUGCUCAGAGAUGGGUGUGCCUCUUUUGGGGUCGGUUCACAGGUGGUGCAUGGCUGUCGUCAGCUCGUGUCGUGAGAUGUUGGGUUAAGUCCCGCAACGAGCGCAACCCUUGUUCACUGUUGCCAGCACGUUAUGGUGGGGACUCAGUGGAGACCGCCGGGGUCAACUCGGAGGAAGGUGGGGAUGACGUCAAGUCAUCAUGCCCCUUAUGUCCAGGGCUUCACGCAUGCUACAAUGGCUGGUACAGAGAGUGGCGAGCCUGUGAGGGUGAGCGAAUCUCGGAAAGCCGGUCUCAGUUCGGAUUGGGGUCUGCAACUCGACCUCAUGAAGUCGGAGUCGCUAGUAAUCGCAGAUCAGCAACGCUGCGGUGAAUACGUUCCCGGG
This 1343-nucleotide ribosomal RNA is filed under the name uncultured bacterium. Its description in RNAcentral is "16S ribosomal RNA". It matches the Rfam family "Bacterial small subunit ribosomal RNA", at positions 28 to 1378 of the family's 1533-position model. The record is from RNAcentral.